GACGAACGCUGGCGGCGUGCUUAACACAUGCAAGUCGAACGGAAAGGCCCUGCUCUUGUGGGGUGCUCGAGUGGCGAACGGGGGAGUAACACGUGUGUAACCUGCCCUUGACUUUGGGAUAACUUCAGGAAACUGGGGCUAAUACCGGAUAGGAGCUCCUGCUGCAUGGAGGGGGUUGGAAAGUUUCGGCGGUGGGGGAUGGACUCGCGGCUUAUCAGCUUGUUGGUGGGGUAGUGGCUUACCAAGGCUUUGACGGGUAGCCGGCCUGAGAGGGUGACCGGCCUCCAUGGUCCUAAGGUACGCCGCAGUCUCCUACAGGAGGCAGCGGUGGGAAGUAUUGCACAGUGGGCGCAAGCCUGAUGCGGCGGCGCCGCGUGCGGGAUGACGGCCUUCGGGUUGUGAACCGCUUUCGCCUGUGACGAAGCGUGAGUGACGGUAAUGGGUAAAGAAGCACCGGCUAACUACGUG
RNAcentral lists this ribosomal RNA (468 nucleotides) under uncultured bacterium. Its description in RNAcentral is "partial 16S ribosomal RNA". It matches the Rfam family "Bacterial small subunit ribosomal RNA", at positions 28 to 507 of the family's 1533-position model. The record is from RNAcentral.